This 220-nucleotide ribosomal RNA is filed under the name uncultured bacterium. RNAcentral's name for it is "partial 16S ribosomal RNA". It matches the Rfam family "Bacterial small subunit ribosomal RNA", at positions 112 to 334 of the family's 1533-position model. The record is from RNAcentral.
AAUGCGUAGGAAUUUGCCUUGGAGUGGGGGAUAGCCCGAAGAAAUUCGGAUUAAUACCGCAUGAUCUCUAAGGAGCAAAGUGGGCCUCUGAUUUAAGCUCACGCUCUGAGAUGAGCCUACGUCGGAUUAGCUUGUUGGUAGGGUAAAGGCCUACCAAGGCGACGAUCCGUAGCUGGUCUGAGAGGAUGAUCAGCCACACUGGAACUGAGACACGGUCCAG